UUUACGGAGAGUUUGAUCCUGGCUCAGGACGAACGUUGGCGGCGCGCAUAAUGCAUGCAAGUCGAACGAAGUCCCACCCUUCGGGGUGACGACUUAGUGGCAGACGGCUGAGUAACACGUGAGUGAUCUGCCUUUGGGUGAGGGACAACAGAGGGAAACUUCUGCUAAUACCUCAUACGAUCCAUGAUCUAAGGUCUUGGAUGAAAGGUGCCGGGUAACUGGUUGCCGCCCUUAGAUGAGCUCGCGGCCUAUCAGGUUGUUGGUGGGGUAAUGGCCUACCAAGCCUAAGACGGGUAGCUGGUGUGAGAGCACGACCAGUCAGAGGGGGACUGAGACACGGCCCCCACUCCUACGGGAGGCAGCAGCAGGGAAUCUUCCACAAUGGGCGAAAGCCUGAUGGAGCGA
Molecule: ribosomal RNA, 405 nt
Filed under: Chloroflexota bacterium
Lineage: Bacteria; Bacillati; Chloroflexota
Description: bacterial SSU rRNA
Rfam family: Bacterial small subunit ribosomal RNA
Source: RNAcentral